CCCUGACCCUAUGUCUUAGCCCCCCAAGGUACCCUGACACCUGACCCUAUGUCUUAGCCCCCCAAGGUACCCUGACCCCUGACCCUACCAGUCUUAAUCCGGACCCUAUGUCUUAACCCCCCAAGGUAACCUGACCCAUGACCCCACCAGUCUUAUUCCUGACCCUAUGUCUUAAUCCCCCAAGGUUCCCUGACCCUUGACCCUACCAGUCUUAUUCCUGACCCUAUGUCUAAACCCACCAAGGUGUCCUAAUCCCUGGCCCUAUGUCUAAACCCACCAAGGUGUCCUAACCCCUGACCCCUAACCCUAUGUCUAAACCCACCAAGGUGUCCUACCCCCUGACCCCUAACCCUAUGUCUAAACCCACCAAGGUGUCCUAACCCCUGACCCUAUGUCUAAACCCACCAAGGUGUCCUACCCCCUGACCCCUAACCCUAUGUCUAAACCCACCAAGGUGUCCUAACCCCUGACCCCUAACCCUAUGUCUAAACCCACCAAGGUGUCCUGACCCUAUGUCUUAACCCCCCAAGGUACCCUGACCCCUGACCCUACCAGUCUUAUUCCUGAUCCUAUGUCUAAACCCACCAAGGUGUCCUCACCCCUGACCCCUAACCCUAUGUCUUAGCCCCCCAAGGUACCCUAACCCCUGACCCCUAACCCUAUGUCUAAACCCACCAAGGUGUCCUCACCCCUGACCCCUAACCCUAUGUCUAAACCCACCAAGGUGUCCUGACCCCUGACCCUUAACCCGAUGUCUUAACCCCCAAUGUGUCCUAACCCCUGACCCCUAACCCUAUGUCUAAACCCACCAAGGUGUCCUAAUCCCUGACCCUAUGUCUAAACCCACCAAGGUGUCCUGACCCCUGACCCUUGACCCUAUGUCUAAACCCACCACGGUGUCCUAAUCCCUGGCCCUAUGUCUAAACCCACCAAGGUGUCCUAACCCCUGACCCCUAACCCUAUGUCUAAACCCACCAAGGUGUCCUACCCCCUGACCCCUAACCCUAUGUCUAAACCCACCAAGGUGUCCUAACCCCUGACCCCUGACCCUAUGUCUAAACCCACCAAGGUGUCCUAACCCCUGACCCCUAACCCUAUGUCUAAACCCACCAAGGUGUCCUGACCCUAUGUCUUAACCCCCCAAGGUACCCUGACCCCUGACCCUACCAGUCUUAUUCCUGAUCCUAUGUCUAAACCCACCAAGGUGUCCUCACCCCUGACCCCUAACCCUAUGUCUUAGCCCCCAAAGGUACCCUAACCCCUGACCCCUAACCCUGUCUAAACCCACCAAGGUGUCCUGACCCCUAACCCAAUGUCUUAAACCCCCCAAGGUGUCCUGACCCCUGACCCUUAACCCGAUGUCUUAACCCCCAAUGUGUCCUAACCCCUGACCCCUAACCCUAUGUCUAAACCCACCAAGGUGUCCUGACCCCUGACCCCUAACCCUAUGUCUUAACCCCCCAAGGUGUCCUGACCUGUGUGUGUGUUUGUGUGUGUGUGCGUGUUUUUGCAUCUUUCUGUCUG
Oncorhynchus keta (chum salmon) is the source of this 1524-nucleotide long non-coding RNA. RefSeq lists it as uncharacterized. The transcript is spliced from 3 exons. NCBI's taxonomy places the organism in Eukaryota, Metazoa, Chordata, Actinopteri, Salmoniformes, Salmonidae. The record is from RefSeq and is a predicted model, not a curated record.